GUAUUGAUUGCGUGUGACCGCAAAAUAAAUAAAUAAAAAGAACAUUCUACACUGUAUCAAGUUUUGUGUGAAAACGUGAGCCCUCCUGCAAAGGGGACCCACGCGGUGAUGCACAAGGGGUGAAAUGGAUGUGUGAGAGUGCUCAGGCGUGCACGACCUUUUGAAAGGUCAGCGACAGCCCUCGCACCCCCGUUGUAUGAUAAUGAUCCUUCCGCAGGUUCACCUACGGAAA
This 232-nucleotide unclassified non-coding RNA is filed under the name uncultured fungus. RNAcentral describes it as "sequence contains ITS1". Lineage: Eukaryota; Fungi. The record is from RNAcentral.